This 286-nucleotide ribosomal RNA is filed under the name Ornithodoros coriaceus. RNAcentral describes it as "partial 16S ribosomal RNA". The stretch from base 139 to 286 matches the Rfam family "Bacterial large subunit ribosomal RNA", at positions 2473 to 2620 of the family's 2925-position model. Lineage: Eukaryota; Metazoa; Arthropoda; Arachnida; Ixodida; Argasidae. The record is from RNAcentral.
UAAUUUAUCUUUUAAUUAAGAUUAUUAGAAAUUUAUUUUUUAGUUAUGAUUGGGGUGAUUUUAAAACAUAAUUAAUCUUUAAAAUUUUUUAAUAAAAAAGUUCCAUUAGUAGUGAUUUUUUGAUAAAAAUACUCUAGGGAUAACAGCGUUAUUAUUUUGGAUAGUUCAUAUAGAUAAAAUAGUUUGCGACCUCGAUGUUGGAUUAGGAUUCUUUUAUGAUGAAGAAGUUAUAAGGGAGAAGUUUGCUCAACUUUUAAAGUCCUACUUGAUCUGAGUUCAGACCGGG